Cyprinus carpio carpio is the source of this 625-nucleotide long non-coding RNA. The record is from Ensembl. NCBI's taxonomy places the organism in Eukaryota, Metazoa, Chordata, Actinopteri, Cypriniformes, Cyprinidae.
ACAUUAAAAACAACAGCAUUUAUUUGAAAUAUAAUAGUUUCUGUAACAUUAUAAAUGUCUAUACUGUCAGUUUUGAUCAAUUUAAUGCAUUCUUGACUAAGAAGUAUUAAUUUCUUAAUAAAAUACUAAAUACUUAUUAUCCAAAACUUGGUCAUGUAUCACAGUUUCCACAAAAUAUUAAGCUGUUUUAACAUAUUAAGCUGCUGUAAUUGCUCUGUUUCAGAUAAAACAUCAAUAACAGGAGGUGUCAUCAUUUUGAUCAUCAUCCUGCUCCUGAUUUUUUCUCUGCUUGGCAUUUUGUACUAUCUGAGAAAGAAAGCAAGGAGUUACUCAUUUGAUCUGACUCACGUCGACGUAGCUGCCAAUGAUUACACUGACACCCCGCUCAGGAGCGACCAACAAGGCAUAAGCUAUGAACAAACUAACAAAGAUCUGCCUGUGUGUUCAGACUAUGUACAAGAGGACAAGACUACAGAGGAGAAGACUAAUCCCAUCGCAAAUGGGUCUUGUGGAGAGAAAACUGAACAAGCACCCACCAAUGACAACGAGCAGGGAGCAGCAGAAGAGAUCUUCACUGAAAUCAGUCUAGAUGAGCCAAACUAGCAUGCAUAGUGUGUGUUUCCAG